ACGGAGUGGCCGUCUGCAUGAAUCACUCCUCACAGAAAGGAGUCACAUGCCUGUCUUGGGAAAUUUGCAGCCUCACGCUCACUCCCAGAGGGACAAAGGAUAAUGACUUCAUGUCGCUGGCUGCUCACUCACUAUGCUCCUCAAGCACAGGUUUUCUUUUGAAGGAAAAGCUGCCUCGUCUUUUUAAAGGACAUCACAAGACUCUUGGUGACACGAUUCAGCUCUGGCAUCCGCCACAAAGACAUUUGUGUGUCCUUCUGGGGCUUGGAGCCAGGCUUCCAGCCAGCACAAACUUUCUGCCCGUCUUCCACAUGAAGGGCAGAGCUCCUGCUUCUGCCAGGAAUGAAGAUGGCCACUGCUGCUGCCCCAAGCCUCCACAGCAGCUAGACAUCUGGGCUGGUUCCACACCUUGAACAAAAGGAGUGUAGCACAAGGAGCAAACAAGAUGGAUCUCCCACAAGCCUCUCUACACCCUCCUGUAUAUGAGAACAUACUGGCAUCCUGACAGUGUGUUCACCCUGGAAGUAAAUCCUUGGCAUUCAUUCGCACAUCUGCCGAGACUGGAAACUUCAGACCACUGAGAGAUGGACUCCUGGCUGCUGCGGAAGACAUGCUGGACCUGCAGAUGGGCAGACAGGAAGCAUCUUUAUCUGCUGAGCCAUCUUGCCAAACCAUGGGCUGAAUAUUUCUUUCUUGUUAUGCCACCACACACAUGGCAGAAGCUGGUUGUCAAAGCCACGGGCUGCAGUGAGCAUAGUGCCACCACAGGCUGCAGUGAGAUGGCCCUUGUGAUGGUUAGUAUAUAUUUAAUUUUUUUCGUUACAUUUUUAUUUGUUUACUGUGUGUGUGUGUGUGUGUGUGUGUGUGUGUGUGUGUGUGUGUGUUCACACAUGCCUCUGAGCCUGAAAGCAGCACUGCUGCACUUGUGUCUGUCCUAUUGUAAGCAUUACAACCUAGUUUCUUCUGGUUGCAAGAUGGACUGAAGACCAGCGGCUCUCCAGGAAUCCUCCAGGCCUCCAAACAAGAUUAGGAUUUUGGAGACAACCAUCUUUAUGGAUUGAGCAGCUGCCUGGGUUCUGGAGCCUAGCCUUAUCAUUCGAGCAAACCUAAUAAACCUGUCUCCUCAGUCAGCGACCCAGGAGAGUUGCUGUACUCCUCCAUAGUCUUGUAGCUGUGUCCAAAUGCCUAACCAGAACCCAGUUCAAGG
Molecule: long non-coding RNA, 1207 nt
Filed under: Cricetulus griseus (Chinese hamster)
Lineage: Eukaryota; Metazoa; Chordata; Mammalia; Rodentia; Cricetidae
Description: lncRNA (ENSCGRG00000026545.1)
Source: RNAcentral